GACGAACGCUGGCGGCGUGCUUAACACAUGCAAGUCGAACGGAAAGGCCCUGCUUUUGUGGGGUGCUCGAGUGGCGAACGGGUGAGUAACACGUGAGUAACCUGCCCUUGACUUUGGGAUAACUUCAGGAAACUGGGGCUAAUACCGGAUAGGAGCUCCUGCUGCAUGGUGGGGGUUGGAAAGUUUCGGCGGUUGGGGAUGGACUCGCGGCCUAUCAGCUUGUUGGUGGGGUAGUGGCUUACCAAGGCCUUGACGGGUAGCCGGCCUGAGAGGGUGACCGGCCACAUUAGGACUGGGAUACGGCCCAGACUCCUACGGGAGGCAGCGGUGGGGAAUAUUGCACAAUGGGCGGAAGCCUGAUGCAGCAACGCCGCGUGCGGGAUGACGGCCUUCGGGUUGUAAACCGCUUUCGCCUGUGACGAAGCGUGAGUGACGGUAAUGGGUGAAGAAGCACCGGCUAACUACGUG
RNAcentral lists this ribosomal RNA (468 nucleotides) under uncultured bacterium. RNAcentral describes it as "partial 16S ribosomal RNA". It matches the Rfam family "Bacterial small subunit ribosomal RNA", at positions 28 to 507 of the family's 1533-position model. The record is from RNAcentral.